Long non-coding RNA from Cyprinus carpio carpio, 920 nucleotides. NCBI's taxonomy places the organism in Eukaryota, Metazoa, Chordata, Actinopteri, Cypriniformes, Cyprinidae. The record is from Ensembl.
GCCGUGCGUAAGAGGAGUCGCGCGCGCGCUCCCGCUGAACCUGAUGAACGAGCACACGGUCGGAUUUAAACGCGUUUGCUCUCGGUACAGACACAGAACCGGAACUUCCUCCGGCUGUUCUCCACGAUUUCAGAAGUGUUUUUGGUGGAUCAGAAGUGCUCAGGAGAUUUGAGACACUAACAGGUGUAUGACAUGAAGCCGGUCAGUGGGGUGUGUGGAGAGGCUCGGACCGUUUCAAACGACCCCUGACCUUUACUACCCGGCCCUGGAUGCUGGAAGCAUGGAUGUCCACGUGCACAGCGGCCGGACGCUCCACUGCUGUCCAGUGAGUAUUCACCGGCACCUGCAUCAUGAUGACCACAGCGGAGCCAAACCCUGCCUUCUUUAUGACUGAAACAUUACAAGCCACACAUUCACCAGCACUGAGUCACGCCGGAGUCUGUUUAAAGCGUGACGGGUGUGGUGUGUGUUUCGAGGAACACCAGUCUGUAGUAAAGACGAGAAUGCAGUCGAGCAGCAUCCACACAAAACCAGCAGGUUCUGAGUGACACGCGAUGAUAUCACUAUUAUUACAGCUCACACUUAGUGAUUAGUGAUUAGAACAAACCCUGAAGUGUCUGUCUGUCAUGAGGGAUGCCUGCUGCUUUAAGAGAUCAGACACAAUGAGGUCCGAUUUAUUGGUGAAGGUGAAAACAUGCCGCGGAGAACCUGAGCCGUGUUUAGAGAGCAGACGAUCACCAAAAACCUGAUUUAUGCAAGACAGAAAGAAACCACCUAGCAACCAUUUAGAAAAUCUUAGGAACCACAUUGCAAUCAAGGUCAUUAUAGUAAAAAAAAAAAAAAAACAACAAAAUACAUUUUAAAUAAUAUUUCAAUAACUAAAAUAACAUUUUAGGCAUUAAUAAAAAUAAAUAAAAAUU